RNAcentral lists this non-coding RNA (26 nucleotides) under Mus musculus (house mouse). Lineage: Eukaryota; Metazoa; Chordata; Mammalia; Rodentia; Muridae. The record is from RNAcentral.
UGGAUUGUUAGUAGCUGGUCUGGGCC